Molecule: long non-coding RNA, 314 nt
Organism: Lutra lutra (Eurasian river otter)
Lineage: Eukaryota; Metazoa; Chordata; Mammalia; Carnivora; Mustelidae
Exons: 3
Source: RefSeq, a predicted model, not a curated record
UCGUCCUGGAGAGAGCUUUGCGGCACCUGGCCUUGCGGGUCCUGUGUGACAAUGGGUCUACCGACUGGUGGGAUUCCUGUGUCGCAGGCUCGCUGGGCCGGGUUCGUGACGUCAUAAAACAUGAAGGUAGCUGAAUCCAGGCCAGAACUAACAUUUGCUCCACACUGGGUCUCAAAAAGUGCUACACCUAGUUCUCACCUCCAACCAUAAUGUCCACUUGGCACCAGUAGGACCAAAGUAUAUCCCCUGCCCUUGGUUGAUUAUGCGAAUGACACCUUUGAGGGCCUUCCAGGAAUAGCAUUCAGGCCCAAGUC